GUCUGGAAGCGGGGGUGCCGCAAUGUCGGCUGAGAGAGUCCCUUGGAACCUGAUCCGGUUGGUACCGGCGUAGGGAGCUUCGUCAGACGCACG
RNAcentral lists this non-coding RNA (93 nucleotides) under Lysobacterales bacterium. RNAcentral's name for it is "Xanthomonadales bacterium TPP sequence". It matches the Rfam family "TPP riboswitch aptamer (THI element)". Rfam says of the family: Vitamin B(1) in its active form thiamin pyrophosphate (TPP) is an essential coenzyme that is synthesised by coupling of pyrimidine and thiazole moieties in bacteria. The previously detected thiamin-regulatory element, thi box was extended, resulting in a new, highly conserved RNA secondary structure, the THI element, which is widely distributed in eubacteria and also occurs in some archaea. The record is from RNAcentral. Lineage: Bacteria; Pseudomonadati; Pseudomonadota; Gammaproteobacteria; Lysobacterales.